This 1254-nucleotide ribosomal RNA is filed under the name Triticum aestivum (bread wheat). RNAcentral's name for it is "partial small subunit ribosomal RNA". Lineage: Eukaryota; Viridiplantae; Streptophyta; Magnoliopsida; Poales; Poaceae. The record is from RNAcentral.
AUGGCGUCCAAGGCGCUUAUUCCUCGGGAGUGCCUCCCCCGGCGCAGUCCGACCGGCGGCUUGGAGCCGAUCACGGUCUACGUCCGUGUCGACGAGGAGGGGAACUAUCGCCCGAGGUAUAUGUCCCCCAAAGUUGGGCGAGUGUUCCGAGAUCUCCAGGAUCUUAAACAAGCAGUCCGUACAUUCUACACCAGCAUCUACAUCGCCCGUCGCCUCCUAAAGUGGCCCCUGGAUCCGCCGCCGUCUCCGACCGACAACAUAUUCCAGUUCGAGUUCGUGGUGGAACCUGCAGCAGAUGUGUCGUCCCUCAAGGCUAGUACAGCAUUGGAGGAGAAAUCGUCCGGUUCCGACAAGCUUCUUGAUGAGAAGCCUGCAGAGGUGUCUUCCCUCAAGGACUCGCUCAAGGCUACAACAUUGGAGGAGAAAUCGUCCGGCAACGGAGCCAUUUCCUCUUCUUCCUCUGGGCAGCAGCCGGAUCAGGACACGGUUAUGGCCUCACCACCAUCAGGGAACUGCCUUGCCUCACCUUCUGGGCCAGGCAUUUGGCAACGAGAACGACGCGACUGGGGUUUCGGAUAUUACAUCAGGCUUGAUCAUAAGGGAUCUUUCCACACAUAUCCGAAUGCAGGCGGGCUGUUUAAGAGCUUAGAGGAAGUCGAUAAGGCUAUGGAUCGCUAUUUUCAUGAACAUCGGGAUCCAAAUCUAAGGAAGAAGCGUUCAAGAUCGUAUAUGAUCCAGCAAUUCCAUAAUCAAAUGCGCCGAUUACUUCAAGCCUUGGUGGAGAAGCAUAAUGAGGAUCACAGCCUUUCGGGGGAUCUUGCAUAUGAACUCAAAGAUGUUUUGCACGGCGCAACAAUUUGUGAGGGGCGUACUACAUUUUACUAUCAUCUCAAUUUCACGGUGACUAAAGGAGCUGGUGAUUCUAACUCUGGCAUUGAAAACCUUUUCUUCGCGGAAGUCAAAUGUGUGCUACAAGGAAAAGAAGAGGAAUUCUCGGUCACCUGUUUCUGCCCGGUUGAAUCUACCGAUGAUGGAUACUGCUAUGGUUGUACCAUGGAUAGGGAUGUCAAUAUGAAGCACCCCAUCAGUGCCAGUGCAUACCUUGCCGGUCAGGUGAAGGUGGGUUCACACAUUGGAUACUACUCUUAUGAAGGCUGGAGCAGCGACUCAGACGACGAAAAUAUGUUCAUGCGGCCUCCGACUACGAGGGCUUUUGACGCCGACAACAUGACUUUCGACGACGCCGGCGACUAA